RNAcentral lists this long non-coding RNA (218 nucleotides) under Mytilus galloprovincialis (Mediterranean mussel). Lineage: Eukaryota; Metazoa; Mollusca; Bivalvia; Mytilida; Mytilidae. The record is from RNAcentral.
GUCUGAAGGUGUGAGAAUGAUGUUUUCUGGUUCUUGAGUCUGAUGGGAUGAGAAUUGUGCUAGAUGGUAUAGCAACAAAAUGAUGUGUGAUCUUGUACAUCAUAACCAGGCGUGCACGCAGUCUGCGUUGUGUUAAAAUAGGCCAGUUUAGUGUGUUCAGCAUGUUUGAUACACUGCUAGUAUUAUGAUACCUGUUGCAGGCAUACCGAGCAGCUCUC